RNAcentral lists this ribosomal RNA (463 nucleotides) under uncultured bacterium. Its description in RNAcentral is "partial 16S ribosomal RNA". It matches the Rfam family "Bacterial small subunit ribosomal RNA", at positions 28 to 507 of the family's 1533-position model. The record is from RNAcentral.
GAUGAACGCUGACAGAAUGCUUAACACAUGCAAGUCUUUGGCGAAGCUGUGCUUGCACAGCCUAGCCAAGGCGGACGGGUGAGUAACGCGUAAGGAACUUGCCCUGCAGUCAGGGAUAACAGACGGAAACGACUGAUAAGACCUGGUAAAGUCAGGCGGACUCAUGUCCAGCCUGAUGAAAAGAGAUGCUGCAGGAGAGCCUUGCGUCCUAUUAGCUUGUUGGUGGGGUAACGACCCACCAAGGCGAUGAUAGGUAGCCGGCCUGAGAGGGUGGACGGCCACAAGGGGACUGAGAUACGGCCCUUACUCCUACGGGAGGCAGCAGUGGGGAAUAUUGGACAAUGGGGGCAACCCUGAUCCAGCAAUUCUGUGUGCACGAUGAAGGUUUUCGGAUUGUAAAGUGCUUUCAGCAGGGAAGAAAAAAAUGACGGUACCUGCAGAAGAAGCGACGGCUAAAUACGUG